Molecule: ribosomal RNA, 550 nt
Filed under: uncultured Methanoculleus sp.
Lineage: Archaea; Methanobacteriati; Methanobacteriota; Methanomicrobia; Methanomicrobiales; Methanomicrobiaceae
Description: bacterial SSU rRNA
Rfam family: Archaeal small subunit ribosomal RNA
Source: RNAcentral
ACGGGGUGCAGCAGGCGCGAAACCUUUACAAUGCGGGCAACCGUGAUAAGGGAACCUCGAGUGCCUGUAAACGCAGGCUGUUCAGGCGUUUAAAACGCACCUGGAGAAAGGGCCGGGCAAGACCGGUGCCAGCCGCCGCGGUAAUACCGGCGGCUCGAGUGGUGGCCGCUUUUAUUGGGCUUAAAGCGUUCGUAGCUGGGUUGUUAAGUCUCUUGGGAAAUCUGGCGGCUUAACCGUCAGGCGUCUAAGGGAUACUGGCAAUCUUGGAACCGGGAGAGGUGAGGGGUACUUCGGGGGUAGGGGUGAAAUCCUGUAAUCCUCGAGGGACCACCUGUGGCGAAGGCGCCUCACCAGAACGGCUUCGACAGUGAGGGACGAAAGCUGGGGGAGCAAACCGGAUUAGAUACCCGGGUAGUCCCAGCCGUAAACGAUGCGCGUUAGGUGUAUCGGUGACCACGAGUUACCGAGGUGCCGAAGGGAAACCGUGAAACGCGCCGCCUGGGAAGUACGGUCGCAAGGCUGAAACUUAAAGGAAUUGGCGGGGGAGCAC